This 274-nucleotide unclassified non-coding RNA is filed under the name Hevea brasiliensis (rubber tree). The record is from RNAcentral. Lineage: Eukaryota; Viridiplantae; Streptophyta; Magnoliopsida; Malpighiales; Euphorbiaceae.
GGACUUUCAGGCCUCAUGUCCUGAUGAUGAGUUAAAUUUCAGAAGUUAGUUGAGAAAGAGUGAAUCUAUGAUUUUGUUGUUGAGUUGAAUGUGGAAUAUGAUAAAAUUAGGGUCCAAGUGCUUGGGUAGAAUCCUUUACCUACCUUAAGGCAGACAUGCUCUUAUGUUCAGCAGGAAGAGAGUUGGAGGAGUGCCAUGAUUCAUUUUAUGUUUGUUGAUAAGGCUGGGCUAGUUGCUAAUUCCUCAUGUAAACAAUCACAUGGUUCAUCAGAUA